AGAGUUUGAUCCUGGCUCAGGACGAACGCUGGCGGCACGCUUAACACAUGCAAGUCGAACGAGAGAAGAGGAGCUUGCUUUUCUGAUCUAGUGGCGGACGGGUGAGUAACACGUGAGCAAUCUGCCUUUCAGAGGGGGAUACCGAUUGGAAACGAUCGUUAAUACCGCAUAACAUAAUUGAACCGCAUGAUUUGAUUAUCAAAGAUUUAUCGCUGAAAGAUGAGCUCGCGUCUGAUUAGCUAGUUGGUAAGGUAACGGCUUACCAAGGCGACGAUCAGUAGCCGGACUGAGAGGUUGAUCGGCCACAUUGGGACUGAGACACGGCCCAGACUCCUACGGGAGGCAGCAGUGGGGAAUAUUGCACAAUGGAGGAAACUCUGAUGCAGCGAUGCCGCGUGAGGGAAGAAGGUUUUAGGAUUGUAAACCUCUGUCUUCAGGGACGAAAAAAGACGGUACCUGAGGAGGAAGCUCCGGCUAACUACGUGCCAGCAGCCGCGGUAAUACGUAGGGAGCGAGCGUUGUCCGGAAUUACUGGGUGUAAAGGGAGCGUAGGCGGGAUCGCAAGUCAGAUGUGAAAACUAUGGGCUUAACCCAUAAACUGCAUUUGAAACUGUGGUUCUUGAGUGAAGUAGAGGUAAGCGGAAUUCCUAGUGUAGCGGUGAAAUGCGUAGAUAUUAGGAGGAACAUCAGUGGCGAAGGCGGCUUACUGGGCUUUAACUGACGCUGAGGCUCGAAAGCGUGGGGAGCAAACAGGAUUAGAUACCCUGGUAGUCCACGCCGUAAACGAUGAUUACUAGGUGUGGGGGGACUGACCCCUUCCGUGCCGCAGCAAACGCAAUAAGUAAUCCACCUGGGGAGUACGACCGCAAGGUUGAAACUCAAAGGAAUUGACGGGGGCCCGCACAAGCAGUGGAGUAUGUGGAUUAAUUCGAAGCAACGCGAAGAACCUUACCAGGUCUUGACAUCGUAUGCAUAGCUCAGAGAUGAGUGAAAUCUCUUCGGAGACAUAUAGACAGGUGGUGCAUGGUUGUCGUCAGCUCGUGUCGUGAGAUGUUGGGUUAAGUCCCGCAACGAGCGCAACCCUUACUGUUAGUUGCUACGCAAGAGCACUCUAGCAGGACUGCCGUUGACAAAACGGAGGAAGGUGGGGAUGACGUCAAAUCAUCAUGCCCCUUAUGACCUGGGCCUCACACGUACUACAAUGGCUGUCAACAGAGGGAAGCAAAGCCGCGAGGUGGAGCGAACCCCUAAAAGCAGUCUUAGUUCGGAUUGUAGGCUGCAACCCGCCUACAUGAAGUCGGAAUUGCUAGUAAUCGCAGAUCAGCAUGCUGCGGUGAAUACGUUCCCGGGCCUUGUACACACCGCCCGUCACGCCAUGGGAGUCGGUAACACCCGAAGCCUGUAGUCUAACCGCAAGGAGGACGCAGUCGAAGGUGGGAUUGAUGACUGGGGUGAAGUCGCAACAAGGUA
RNAcentral lists this ribosomal RNA (1470 nucleotides) under metagenome. Its description in RNAcentral is "bacterial SSU rRNA". It matches the Rfam family "Bacterial small subunit ribosomal RNA". The record is from RNAcentral.